This 77-nucleotide transfer RNA is filed under the name Rhodospirillaceae bacterium. Its description in RNAcentral is "tRNA-Pro". It matches the Rfam family "tRNA". Rfam says of the family: Transfer RNA (tRNA) molecules are approximately 80 nucleotides in length. Their secondary structure includes four short double-helical elements and three loops (D, anti-codon, and T loops). Further hydrogen bonds mediate the characteristic L-shaped molecular structure. tRNAs have two regions of fundamental functional importance: the anti-codon, which is responsible for specific mRNA codon recognition, and the 3' end, to which the tRNAs corresponding amino acid is attached (by aminoacyl-tRNA synthetases). tRNAs cope with the degeneracy of the genetic code in two manners: having more than one tRNA (with a specific anti-codon) for a particular amino acid; and 'wobble' base-pairing, i.e. permitting non-standard base-pairing at the 3rd anti-codon position. Lineage: Bacteria; Pseudomonadati; Pseudomonadota; Alphaproteobacteria; Rhodospirillales; Rhodospirillaceae. RNAcentral also lists the same sequence under 4 other names. The record is from RNAcentral.
CGGAGUGUAGCGCAGUCCGGUAGCGCGCCUGUUUUGGGAGCAGGAUGUCGGGGGUUCAAAUCCCUCCACUCCGACCA